This 510-nucleotide ribosomal RNA is filed under the name uncultured bacterium. RNAcentral's name for it is "partial 16S ribosomal RNA". It matches the Rfam family "Bacterial small subunit ribosomal RNA", at positions 28 to 523 of the family's 1533-position model. The record is from RNAcentral.
GACGAACGCUGGCGGCGUGCCUAAUACAUGCAAGUCGAGCGAAUGACGAGAAGCUUGCUUCUCUGAUUUAGCGGCGGACGGGUGAGUAACACGUGGGCAACCUGCCCUACAGAUCGGGAUAACUCAGGGAAACCUGGGCUAAUACCGGAUAAUCCUUCGAAUCACAUGUGUUGAAGUUGAAAGGCGCUUCGGCGUCACUGUAGGAUGGGCCCGCGGUGCAUUAGCUAGUUGGUGGGGUAACGGCCUACCAAGGCAACGAUGCAUAGCCGACCUGAGAGGGUGAUCGGCCACAUUGGGACUGAGACACGGCCCAAACUCCUACGGGAGGCAGCAGUAGGGAAUCUUCCACUAUGGACGAAAGUCUGAUGGAGCAACGCCGCGUGAGUGAUGAAGGUUUUCGGAUCGUAAAACUCUGUUGUAAGGGAAGAACAAGUACGUUAGGAAAUGAACGUACCUUGACGGUACCUUAUUAGAAAGCCACGGCUAACUACGUGCCAGCCGCCGCCGUAA